CCUACGGGAGGCAGCAGUGGGGAAUAUUGGACAAUGGGCGAAAGCCUGAUCCAGCCAUGCCGCGUGUGUGAAGAAGGCCUUCGGGUUGUAAAGCACUUUCAGUGGGGAAGAAAGCCUUGGGGCUAAUACCCUCGAGGAAGGACAUCACCCACAGAAGAAGCACCGGCUAACUCCGUGCCAGCAGCCGCGGUAAUACGGAGGGUGCGAGCGUUAAUCGGAAUUACUGGGCGUAAGGCGCGCGUAGGCGGUCUGAUAAGCCGGUUGUGAAAGCCCCGGGCUCAACCUGGGAACGGCAUCCGGAACUGUCAGGCUAGAGUGCAGGAGAGGAAGGUAGAAUUCCCGGUGUAGCGGUGAAAUGCGUAGAGAUCGGGAGGAAUACCAGUGGCGAAGGCGGCCUUCUGGACUGACACUGACGCUGAGGUGCGAAAGCGUGGGUAGCAAACAGGAUUAGAUACCCUUGUAGUC
This 465-nucleotide ribosomal RNA is filed under the name Vreelandella stevensii. Its description in RNAcentral is "partial 16S ribosomal RNA". It matches the Rfam family "Bacterial small subunit ribosomal RNA", at positions 338 to 795 of the family's 1533-position model. The record is from RNAcentral. Lineage: Bacteria; Pseudomonadati; Pseudomonadota; Gammaproteobacteria; Oceanospirillales; Halomonadaceae.